CUGAUUUUGAUAUGGAGGUGCACAAUGAAUACUGGUGGAGGGGAGACAUUUUGGAGCAAGAACAUCAUGUAGGGAUUUUUCAGCUGCCUGAAGAGCGGAAUGCUGUAAAAUGCAGCAACUUUGUUCCUCUAACUCUUCCUCCAUAAGAGCGUGGUUGAUGUACUUCAAAACAGCAUCAGCUGAAGGAUAUUGAACAACUGGGUUCAUGAGUCCCGAAGAGGGAUUUCUAGUUGUUACCAGGAUUUUUUUUUUUUAAUAUUACCAGGAAUUGUUAAAAAAGAAAGAUGUAUAUAUAUGAAGUAAACAAACGUGAUAAUCAACAGGAACUGAAAAACU
This 336-nucleotide unclassified non-coding RNA is filed under the name Hevea brasiliensis (rubber tree). The record is from RNAcentral. Lineage: Eukaryota; Viridiplantae; Streptophyta; Magnoliopsida; Malpighiales; Euphorbiaceae.